UCCUCUCUCACCAGCUGCCUCCCAGCCUCCCCAACCCCCUCCAUCCGGCCGGUAGUAGCAGAAGACGCCCGUGGCCUGACCUCGACCCUCUCGCUCCCACCCGCCUGGCCUGCGGUCCUUCCCUCCCUGGGGCCUGUGGGCGCACAGCUGGCCUCGCCGCACUCCCCCGGCACGCCCGGAGCCCGGCCCGGAGCGCACAGCUGAGGGCGGCCGAGUCAGGACGCUUCUCCUACGUUCCACCUCUGCACCGACCGGGUGGGGAGCAGGGCCUUGACUGCAGGAGUAAGGGCGGAGGCGCAGCGCAUCCGUGUGGUUCUCCACCCCAAGCCCUUGGGGGAACCUACGGCGCGCGCUCGCGGGUCGCCCGGGACCGGAGCGAAUCAACUUGGAAAACCAAAAAGGUUAGCCGACUGAGGCAGAGAAGAGGCCAGGAGCCUCAGGAAGGGCCGAGCUGGCAUUCCAACCCUGGAAUGUCCGACUGAAAUCUGGGCUGUUUUCCUGUCCACACCACCUCAUGUCCCCCACCUGGCUGCCCUUAAGAGCCAGCUCUUGCGUCUCACCCUCUCCGGGUCAGAUGCCACGCCAGGGGCUCUGCUGCCUGCCCAGAAGCAUCACGGGUGCACGCACAGGAGAGGAGACCGAGACUCAUGACGCUCGGCCAGGACGUGGCGGAGCCGGCGGGCUGGACUCAGGCCUCAGUCUCCCGAUCCGGCCUCGGCCCCAGACCCUGACACUGUGCUGCUGCUGACGUCAUCUGUCAGCUGCCUCUCUCUGUGCACACCUGAGUCACCCCAGCUGCCCCCA
RNAcentral lists this long non-coding RNA (804 nucleotides) under Equus caballus (horse). RNAcentral's name for it is "lncRNA (ENSECAG00000043844.1)". Lineage: Eukaryota; Metazoa; Chordata; Mammalia; Perissodactyla; Equidae. The record is from RNAcentral.